Molecule: long non-coding RNA, 1041 nt
Organism: Aethalodelphis obliquidens (Pacific white-sided dolphin)
Lineage: Eukaryota; Metazoa; Chordata; Mammalia; Artiodactyla; Delphinidae
Exons: 4
Source: RefSeq, a predicted model, not a curated record
GAUUUACCUCUGUCUGGACCAUCUUCUGUCUGGGGACAAGUCAGGCCCUCAGAGACCUUGCCCUCCACCCCUCUCAUGGAGGUGGUAAGCUAUACCACCAACUUGUCAGACUGGUUUUCAUCUCUAGCAAACACACUUCUCCCUUCCCAGCGUCUCCUCACUUGCCCUGGGGCUGUGAUAGCUUCUGGGUUCCCAUAGGACCUCCAUGACAGCACUUUUUCUUUGCUGAACAGUCAACCGAGUGUGCAGUGCAGCCGAGUGGGUGAAAGCCUGGAUUGUGUGCAAAGCACUAGCUGGGAUGAGGAGUCAGAGGGACCUGGAUCGGAAUCCCGGCUGUGCCCCUUCCCAGCUGAGUGACCCCUCUGCGCCUCAGUUUCUGCGUGUGCUAAACAGGAACCACGGCUCCUCCAGCAGGUGUGACUUUGACGUUUGAGGGAAGAGCUGCAGAGGAUCAGAGGUUCGUGUCCUUACUUCCUCCCUGAGCCUCCAGGUACCCCCGUGUCCGCGUCCUCAGGUCCCCCAGAAAGGCACGUGGAGCCGCGGCAAUGGAAGCAGUUCCUUUAUUCUGCCCCAGGCAGCUGCGGUCAUAAGCACACGGGGAAUCCACUGAUGGCAUCCGUGCUCUGCAUGAUCAUGUCCGCCAGCAGAAAGCAGAAGCCUGGCGGGAAGGGAACGGAGGGCGGGUGGAGGAGGGUUACCCGCGAGAACAGAGAAGGGUAAAGCCAGCCACCCCGAAAAACAGGACCAGGAGAAGAAGACGUCGUUUUUCCCUGCAUUCUUCACUGUGUAGCCUGUCAUGGCGAUCAGCUGCAGCAGGCCUGGGCCCCGCCCACCCGCCAGGUGAGGGUGGCCAGGGGGCUGCACCCAGCCUCACCCUGACCGCGCCCACCGCCUCAGACCACGCCCUUCUUGCCCGCCCUCCCGUCCCUACUCUACCCCAUCUCCCUGGCCCCGCCCCUGACCCCGCCUCUUUAGCUCCUCCCCCUCGGGGCCCCUACCUCCUCCAGCUACCAGGCCCACCCUAUGCCAUCUCACCGCAGA